Molecule: ribosomal RNA, 510 nt
Filed under: uncultured bacterium
Lineage: Bacteria
Description: partial 16S ribosomal RNA
Rfam family: Bacterial small subunit ribosomal RNA
Source: RNAcentral
GACGAACGCUGGCGGCGUGCUUAACACAUGCAAGUCGAACGAAGAGCGAUGGAAGCUUGCUUCUAUCAAUCUUAGUGGCGAACGGGUGAGUAACGCGUAAUCAACCUGCCCUUCAGAGGGGGACAACAGUUGGAAACGACUGCUAAUACCGCAUACGAUCUAAUCUCGGCACCGAGGAUAGAUGAAAGGUGGCCUCUACAUGUAAGCUAUCACUGAAGGAGGGGAUUGCGUCUGAUUAGCUAGUUGGAGGGGUAACGGCCCACCAAGGCGAUGAUCAGUAGCCGGUCUGAGAGGAUGAACGGCCACAUUGGGACUGAGACACGGCCCAGACUCCUACGGGAGGCAGCAGUGGGGAAUCUUCCGCAAUGGACGAAAGUCUGACGGAGCAACGCCGCGUGAGUGAUGACGGCCUUCGGGUUGUAAAGCUCUGUUAAUCGGGACGAAAGGCCUUCUUGCGAAUAGUGAGAAGGAUUGACGGUACCGGAAUAGAAAGCCACGGCUAACUACGUG